GAUGAACGCUGGCGGCGUGCCUAAUACAUGCGAGUCGAGCGAACAGACGAGGAGCUUGCUCCUCUGACGUUAGCGGCGGACGGGUGAGUAACACGUGGAUAACCUACCUAUAAGACUGGGAUAACUUCGGGAAACCGGAGCUAAUACCGGAUAAUAUAUUGAACCGCAGGGUCCAAUAGUGAAAGACGGUUUUGCUGUCACUUAUAGAUGGAUCCGCGCCGCAUUAGCUAGUUGGUAAGGUAACGGCUUACCAAGGCGACGAUGCGUAGCCGACCUGAGAGGGUGAUCGGCCACACUGGAACUGAGACACGGCCCAGACUCCUACGGGAGGCAGCAGUAGGGAAUCUUCCGCAAUGGGCGAAAGCCUGACGGAGCAACGCCGCGUGAGUGAUGAAGGUCUUCGGAUCGUAAAACUCUGUUAUUAGGGAAGAACACAUGUGUAAGUAACUAUGCACGUCUUGACGGUACCUGAUCAGAAAGCCACGGCUAACUACGUG
RNAcentral lists this ribosomal RNA (497 nucleotides) under uncultured bacterium. Its description in RNAcentral is "partial 16S ribosomal RNA". It matches the Rfam family "Bacterial small subunit ribosomal RNA", at positions 28 to 507 of the family's 1533-position model. The record is from RNAcentral.